Long non-coding RNA from Passer domesticus (house sparrow), 3513 nucleotides. RefSeq lists it as uncharacterized. The record is from RefSeq and is a predicted model, not a curated record. The transcript is spliced from 3 exons. Lineage: Eukaryota; Metazoa; Chordata; Aves; Passeriformes; Passeridae.
CAAAGCCUCCUCAAGCACCGCUGCCUCCUCUCCAGGCUUCCUGCACUUCCUUUGCUGACAGGGUCUCAGCAGCCUGGCUGCAGGCAGGCUCAGCUGAUGUUACAAAGCGCUGCUGUCCAAAAGAAAAAAAGACAAAAGGCAAAUCAGAAAGGAGCUAUUUGUUGCCAGGCUGAAUUCCUCACAGGCGGAGGCAGGAUUCCUCUUGUUCCCAGAAAGGUGCAGAAAAUGCGCCCCGUACAUUCAUGUCUAUGACCAGGCUAUUGCAGGUCAGCGUGACUCACAAUCGUUACCCAGGUGUCUUCAGCUGGUUGGGAUUUUCCCCUGAGAGCAGCCUGAGAAUACUGCUUGCCGUCACAGGCCUUUGAUCCUUCCAGGAAACUCCACAGACCCAUUUAGCUUCCUCCCUUCUAGGACAUGGCCCGGGUUAACUGCCAAGAGGAUGAGCAGUGUAAGCCGUUCCUCAGCAAAUGCCAAUCCCCCUAAGAAAUGUGGAUUCCAGUGGGAUUUAGGCCCGAGUGCUGUUCUCAAGAGCACUGAAGUUCAGGGGAUCAGCAGCGAGACAAGAGCAGGCAGCUUGGCAGGCCUCCACCAUCUCCAGCACUCACCUGCCUUGCAAAUUGCUCUGCUUCCUCUAGGCCUUGGAUGAACUGCUGCUCUUGACCUGCGGCCUUCUCCUGUUACCCAUGAGGCUGGCACCUGAGGCAUUUGUGAGGAGGUCUAGAACAAAAUGACACAGGAGAAAUCCACAGAACCUGCGCUUGGGAUCGUUUGCCCCGUUUGGUGCUUGCAAGUGUCCGCAGCAGACGUGGAGUUGGCAGUUCAGUCAGCUAUGCGGCCCAGAAAGGAAAAGGCUCCGUUAGCUGAGGGAAACCAAUUUACUCAGCACCUGCAGGCCAGAAAUGAGGGUGCAGCAAAUGACUGAAAAACACAGUAUAUGAUACAGCACAUAUCCUCAAUGGGCAUGCCAGAGAUUUCAAACCCACAUCCAUGCAGGAAUGUGACCUUGCAGCUUUCGCACAAGCCAAAGGGAGUGGCUUUUUGCAAAGACACCCGGAGGUCAGUGUGGGACACAGAACUUUUUCAAGAGCCGGACUGACCUGGGAGCUGGUGGAAGCGGAGAGAAGGGGCAAAUGCGCCCAUGGGUGCACCCACACUCUGAGGGCUGCUCCAAGGGCACCCCCUGCCAUGCACAGGACAUGGGCACUGCCCCGUGCAGAGGACGUGUCCCUGCCAUAUUGACAACACCAACACUGCUCCAGUGUCAUGCAAACGCACAUGGGUGGUUUGUUAGUUGCCAUGUUUUUCCCACUACAAAAUUAUUCUUCCUUCUGUGAAUCCUGCAAUGUGCUGGUUGAUGUUAGCCCUGCAGGAAAUGGGCAGAAGUGACAGGCAUUGCAAUUCAGGGAACUAGUUUUAGUCAGAAGCAUUGGUGGCCAAAGUACAGGGUGUGUGAACUUGGUGCCCGUUCUGCGUUACUCUUGGAUCCUUUCAGCUACAGGUUAUGCACUGCAAGCGGGUUUUGCGCUGUUUUGGGACAGUGUGCGCCCUUUCAAAGGAGUCCUUUUUGUCGCCUGAUGUUGUAAAGUCUGUGGACAAAUGCAGGCAUCCUUUUUUAUCGCCCCUGCGAUUGUAGGGUUUGCAGACUGGAGCAGCACUGAUGAAAUGAUGGAGAGAAUCUGUGGAGCAGUUAGCAGGCCUUUCUUGCUGGUGUCAUCCCACAAAGUUUUUAAUGGUCCGAUGGGAAUCCCCCCGUGGAAAGAAGGAAUGAUGAAUCUGACUCCAUGUUCUCAGAAGGCUAAUUUAUUACUUUAUAAUACUAUAUUAUAUUAAAGAGUACUAUACUAAACUAUACUAAAGUAUACAGAAAGAAUACUUACUCAAUGCUGAAAAGAUAAUCAUGAAAACUCAUUGCUCUUUCCAGAGUCUUGACACAGCUUGGCACUGAUUGGCCAAAGAGUAAAAACAACUCACACCAGAAUCCAAUGAAACAAUCACCUGUGUGUAAACAAUCUCCAAACACAUUCAAAAGGAGCAGAACACAGGAGAAGAAAUGAGAUAAUAAUUGUUUUCCUUUUUCUCUGAAGCUUCUCAGCUUCCCAGGAGAAAAACCCUGGGCGGAGGGAUUUUUCCAGAGAAUGUGGAUUUCCAGAGAAUUCCACAGCUCUAUAAAUCUAGAAAUGUAACUCUAUGGAUAUAUAAAUAGAAGAUAGAAAUCUAUAAAUCUGUGUAUACACAAAGACUACACCUGCCUGAUGGUCACAGGUCUCCUCUUAUGCAGGGAGAUCCUUCUUCUCAUGCAUGGCAGCCCUCCUGGUAAGGUAGAUCAGGUGGGUAUCUGGGAAGCAGAGGGAACACUGGGUCAAUAUUGGCCUCUGUGCAUCUUUCCUUUUGGAAGUAACUGUCUUCUGUCAAAGACUGUAAAAGAUGGCCUGAAAGGCAGGCUCUCACUUGGCAAUUUGAAGCCUGCUCUUCAAAGAGCCAGGAUCCUUCCAAGUGUUCAAAACUUCUAAAGUUUUGAAGUAUCCCAGUAAACUCAAAGACCUCGCACUGCAAAGGGCACCCACGAGAGCUUGAAACAGAGACAGUCCCAGCUGCCACAAAGAAGCCCAGCCUUGUUCUUUGUGCUGACAGAGAGACCUCAGUGCUCACUGAAAUGGCUGAAGCUGAGGGCUGCUGGGAGCUGAGUUAUGAACUAGCACCGUUCCCUGCCAUCUACAACCUGCCCUCUGCAGUGAGCAACAGCUCGUCCAAAACAACCACCAGCUCUGGGAUGAACAGCUGUGUGAAAAAUGACCAGCUAAUAUUGGCUUUCACAUUAAUGUAUGAGCUUAUGCACAUUGUUCGUGAUUAUAAGUAUUUAGAAAUAGCAAUAAAUUAGAACUCUUUUUAGUUGCUUGUUAAUAUUGGAAUCUAUCAGCUUAAGUGUGCAGUGGGUUGCUCAUAGAAGUAGUAGUGUAAUGAAUAUAAUUUCUAUGUAUCACGUAUGGAAACAAUAGUGUGAUGAAUGUAUUGUGUUAUAGACCUUAGCAAAACAUAAGGAACAAAAAAAAAAAAAGAUUUUUGUGUAACUAAAAACAGUGUAAGGUUAUCCACAGACCAACCUGUCCAAGUGAUAAGAUAACCCUGACACAAACCAGAGCACCAGAGAACAAUUAGAGAAUACCAUGUUAAAUUUAAGAAGGACAUACUAAAUCCUUAUCAGAGGAUGUGAAACAGCAGAAUGGAGACACAAGAAGAAAUAAAAUAUAUUGAUCUGACACAGGCGAUAUCAUGCAGAUAAGCCUGAGUGUGAAGAAGUCCAACAAAGGAGUUGCCAAAACAUCAGAAAGUUCCCAAGAAGGUCUGAAUAAUGCAUGAAACACAUGAGUACGCAUGUAUCUCAUCAAUGUAACACUAUAGAGAUAAGACUGUCUCUAUACACCAGGUGUUCUUUGGCUGAUGGCCAGGAACACCCCAGCGCUGCAAAUAUUGUCCUUUGUUAUCCUCUUACUAUUAAACUGUUAAAAAAUCUAA